RNAcentral lists this ribosomal RNA (337 nucleotides) under uncultured Gemmatimonadota bacterium. Its description in RNAcentral is "bacterial SSU rRNA". It matches the Rfam family "Bacterial small subunit ribosomal RNA", at positions 28 to 351 of the family's 1533-position model. Lineage: Bacteria; Pseudomonadati; Gemmatimonadota. The record is from RNAcentral.
GACGAACGCUGGCGGCGUGCCUAACACAUGCAAGUCGAACGAGGCCACUCCUUCGGGAGUGAGUCGAGUGGCGGACGGGUGAGUAACACGUGAGCAAUCUACCCUAGUGCGGGGGAUAACCCGGGGAAACCCGGGCUAAUACCGCAUGGACAAGAGAUCCGAGUGGGUCUUUUGGGAAACGUGGCCUCUUAACAAUGCUACGGCGCAAGGAGGAGCUCGCGGGCUAUCAGCUAGUUGGUGAGGUCAUGGCUCACCAAGGCAGCGACGGCUACGGGGUCUGAGAGGACGACCCCGCACAUUGGAACUGAGACACGGUCCAGACUCCUACGGGAGGCUG